RNAcentral lists this ribosomal RNA (253 nucleotides) under uncultured bacterium. RNAcentral describes it as "partial 16S ribosomal RNA". It matches the Rfam family "Bacterial small subunit ribosomal RNA", at positions 524 to 776 of the family's 1533-position model. The record is from RNAcentral.
UACGUAGGGGGCGAGCGUUGUCCGGAAUUACUGGGCGUAAAGGGCGCGCAGGCGGCCGAUCAAGUCAGAUGUGAAACCCCCGGGCUCAACCUGGGAACUGCAUUUGAAACUGGUUGGCUUGAGUGCAGGAGAGGAAAGCGGAAUUCCUAGUGUAGCGGUGAAAUGCGUAGAUAUUAGGAAGAACACCAGUGGCGAAGGCGGCUUUCUGGACUGCAACUGACGCUGAGGCGCGAAAGCGUGGGGAGCGAACAGG